ACUGCACACAGUCACUGAGUACAGACUGGCUGGUUCCUGUAAAGGGAGAGGCAGCAAAACCAGACAAACAGGUGCAGGAACAGGCGGAGAAACACCUGAAAAACAAGAAGUUCAACGUCAUUUUCCAGAAGUGAAAGUGUGAGAGAGCAGCAGCAGAGCUGCAGUUGAGUCCUGUUUGUCUCGUUGAGUCCUGUUUGUCUCUAAAAGAAGAUUCACCGGAGUCCAUCAGGUUUCUCUCAGCAACAGUGGAAAACUCCUGACAUUUCUUGGUCCUUCGAGCCGGAUGGGACACAGCACUUUUGUGUGACCCCACAGGAAAACCUCAUCGAGUCCUGACGUCGUGAGAAGCCCACGCUGAAGUCUGUCGACAGCUCCUGUCCAGGUACAGGAUAAAGUCCAGAGACGUGAAUUCGGGUUCUGGCCAGCGUUCUUAUAAGUGGUCCACGGCGGUGGGGGUCGAUGAGGUAGACCUGAGAGACCGGCAGCAACCAGGUGAUCCAGGUGAUCGAUAUAUGUAUUUUUUUUGUCUGCUUAUUCUGUUGGUUUUGUUUUUUGCCCUUUUCCCCGUCCCUCUUCCCCGCUGUUUUUCUUUCCUCUUUCUUUCUCCCUUUCUUUCCCCAGUUAAGUCUGUCCCGUAUUCAGCAAGUGAAAAUAAAAUAAACAAUAAAGGUGAAUCAAAUGGACCAUUACGGCAAGGCUGGGAUGGUCAAUUU
This is a long non-coding RNA of Oreochromis aureus, 713 nucleotides long. NCBI's taxonomy places the organism in Eukaryota, Metazoa, Chordata, Actinopteri, Cichliformes, Cichlidae. The record is from Ensembl.